UUCGCCCUUAGAGUUUGAUCCUGGCUCAGGACGAACGCUGGCGGCGCGCCUAACACAUGCAAGUCGAACGGAGCUUAGAGAGCUUGCUUUUUAAGCUUAGUGGCGAACGGGUGAGUAACGCGUGAGUAACCUGCCCUAGAGUGGGGGACAACAGUUGGAAACGACUGCUAAUACCGCAUAAGCCCACGGUGCCGCAUGACACUGAGGGAAAAGGAUUUAUUCGCUUUAGGAUGGACUCGCGUCCAAUUAGCUAGUUGGUGAGGUAACGGCCCACCAAGGCGACGAUCGGUAGCCGGACUGAGAGGUUGAACGGCCACAUUGGGACUGAGACACGGCCCAGACUCCUACGGGAGGCAGCAGUGGGGAAUAUUGCACAAUGGGGGAAACCCUGAUGCAGCGACGCCGCGUGGAGGAAGAAGGUCUUCGGAUUGUAAACUCCUGUUGUUGAGGAAGAUAAUGACGGUACUCAACAAGGAAGUGACGGCUAACUACGUGCCAGCAGCCGCGGUAAAACGUAGGUCACAAGCGUUGUCCGGAAUUACUGGGUGUAAAGGGAGCGCAGGCGGGAAGACAAGUUGGAAGUGAAAUCUAUGGGCUCAACCCAUAAACUGCUUUCAAAACUGUUUUUCUUGAGUAGUGCAGAGGUAGGCGGAAUUCCCGGUGUAGCGGUGGAAUGCGUAGAUAUCGGGAGGAACACCAAUGGCGAAGGCGGCCUACUGGGCACCAACUGACGCUGAGGCUCGAAAGUGUGGGUAGCAAACAGGAUUAGAUACCCUGGUAGUCCACACCGUAAACGAUGAUUACUAGGUGUUGGAGGAUUGACCCCUUCAGUGCCGCAGUUAACACAAUAAGUAAUCCACCUGGGGAGUACGACCGCAAGGUUGAAACUCAAAGGAAUUGACGGGGGCCCGCACAAGCAGUGGAGUAUGUGGUUUAAUUCGACGCAACGCGAAGAACCUUACCAAGUCUUGACAUCCUGCGACGAUGCUGGAAACAGUAUUUUCCUUCGGGACGCAGAGACAGGUGGUGCAUGGUUGUCGUCAGCUCGUGUCGUGAGAUGUUGGGUUAAGUCCCGCAACGAGCGCAACCCUUACUGUCAGUUACUACGCAAGAGGACUCUGGCAGGACUGCCGUUGACAAAACGGAGGAAGGUGGGGAUGACGUCAAAUCAUCAUGCCCUUUAUGACUUGGGCUACACACGUACUACAAUGGCGUUAAACAAAGAGAAGCAAGACCGCGAGGUGGAGCAAAACUCAGAAACAACGUCCCAGUUCGGACUGCAGGCUGCAACUCGCCUGCACGAAGUCGGAAUUGCUAGUAAUCGUGGAUCAGCAUGCCACGGUGAAUACGUUCCCGGGCCUUGCACACACCGCCCGUCA
This 1379-nucleotide ribosomal RNA is filed under the name uncultured bacterium. Its description in RNAcentral is "16S ribosomal RNA". It matches the Rfam family "Bacterial small subunit ribosomal RNA". The record is from RNAcentral.